ACAGUUUAAAAUAAAUUUGACUACGAUAUGCAAACCUUGUGACCUGACUCAUUCUUUUAUGGAAUUUCGACUAUUAUCUUUAUGCCUGAUAAUGUUGUUUAAUCCCUUUACAACUGACAAGAGAAGUGUUUUUGGCGAAAAAAUGGGCAACAUCUGGCUAAAACCGUGGAUGAAUCCAUUAAAAAACCAAACCGCAAAUUAAGUACCUACUUCUUUGUCAUAACAGGAGUAAUUGUAAAAUAGGCCAAUUAGUAAAACCGAACGUUUUGCAAGCACAAAUGGCUUGCAUCUUCAGAUGUGGUGGCUGCAACGAGCAAACAAUGGGUCUCAAUAGCGAAAGGCUUCCAGGCUUAUUUUAAAUUAUUCAUUUGUCAACAAUCCUUAAUUAAGUUUAAUAAAAAUCCUAGUUUUCUCUUUCUGAA
Molecule: long non-coding RNA, 422 nt
Organism: Dendroctonus ponderosae (mountain pine beetle)
Lineage: Eukaryota; Metazoa; Arthropoda; Insecta; Coleoptera; Curculionidae
Exons: 2
Source: RefSeq, a predicted model, not a curated record